Long non-coding RNA from Ruditapes philippinarum (Manila clam), 551 nucleotides. RefSeq lists it as uncharacterized. Lineage: Eukaryota; Metazoa; Mollusca; Bivalvia; Venerida; Veneridae. The transcript is spliced from 6 exons. The record is from RefSeq and is a predicted model, not a curated record.
ACAAUAAAUUAAAAAAUCCGCGUGGUAUCCGCUUUAAAAAGCGUCUACGUGACAAGGAGCACGCUAGAUUCAGAAACUCUCGUCUGCUUCAAUGACGGAGUGAUAUAUUCUAAUUCUCAUUCCGGAAUAGCGCGGGUGUGAGGAAAAAACGGUUGGAUAUUAGCGCUAAAAAGGGCAUAAUUUGUUUGAUAAAAGCAAACAUGUCGUCUUUACUUAGAAGAAAUAUUCAAUCAACUCUUCAUGGCAUUGCGUUGUUACCUCAAUUUCUACUUGUUGGUGGAGGGGGGCUAGUUGGUAUUUACUUCACGGGAUGGAGUUUUCGUCAGUACUAUAACAGUGACAAAGAACCGUCAGCACCCUACACUAGCAUAGAAAAAGACAUUCCGUCAUCGGACGAGCUUUACAAACAGCAAUAGUGAUUGAAGAGCACUUUCGCAAACAUUUCGUCAUCAACAGACUGUGAUUACGUCAUUUCUAUUUCUUUUCUUCCUCGAAGCUUCGUUCAAUACAUUUGACGAUCACGUCAUCAUAUAUUUUAUUCAGUGGUGUUA